AUGAUGGCGCGGGUGGACCGGCUGGACCUGGUGGUGGGGUACUUGGAGGAGCUGCGCCACAGCGGCAGCGGCAGGUCUUCCACCACCGCCACAAGCACCUUGUCAUCGUCGUCCCCGACCACGCCUCGGGCUCGACCUCACGGGUGCCGGUCGGCGGAGGAGCUGCUGCGGGAGACCAAGGCCAAGGGGAGCCUGGUCGAGCGCAUCGCGUUCCUGGAGGACCGGGUGCUCCGGAUGGAGGAGGAGCGCAUGGAGAUGUCGUCGAGCAUGGAGACGGCGGAGUCGGCGAGGAGGACGAUGAGGAUGAUGAUGAACGGCAGCGGCGGGGCUGGGGCUGAACCGGGGAGUCCCGGGAGCGGGAAGAAAGGGAAGAAGGGGCUCAAGAGUUUGGUCAAGUCGUGCGUCCGAGCAGGCGCCAAGCUCAAGACCAAGGAAUAG
This 438-nucleotide ribosomal RNA is filed under the name Triticum aestivum (bread wheat). Its description in RNAcentral is "partial small subunit ribosomal RNA". The record is from RNAcentral. Lineage: Eukaryota; Viridiplantae; Streptophyta; Magnoliopsida; Poales; Poaceae.